Bacidia gigantensis is the source of this 147-nucleotide non-coding RNA. The record is from the annotation of a RefSeq genome assembly. Lineage: Eukaryota; Fungi; Ascomycota; Lecanoromycetes; Lecanorales; Ramalinaceae.
GCUCAGAUGGUGUAACGGUAACACAUCAGGUGCGAAGAGUAGGCAGCCUUCGGGAGUUGCAGAUCCUUGUGAUCACUACUAGCAAAGAGGCUGCGCCCGCAAGCCAAAUGCUUCUCGAAGAUCAAGGUUCGAGUCCUUGUCUGAGCA